RNAcentral lists this ribosomal RNA (254 nucleotides) under uncultured bacterium. RNAcentral's name for it is "partial 16S ribosomal RNA". It matches the Rfam family "Bacterial small subunit ribosomal RNA", at positions 524 to 776 of the family's 1533-position model. The record is from RNAcentral.
UCCGUAGGGGGCGAGCGUUGUCCGGAUUUAUUGGGCGUAAAGAGCUCGUAGGCGGUUUGGCAAGUCGGGUGUGAAAACUCCGGGCUCAACUCGGAGACGCCACUCGAUACUGCCAUGACUCGAGUCCGGUAGGGGAGUGCGGAAUUCCUGGUGUAGCGGUGAAAUGCGCAGAUAUCAGGAAGAACAUCGGUGGCGAAGGCGCUCUGCUGGACCAUAACUGACACUCAGGGACGAAAGCUAGGGGAGCGAAUGGG